ACCCGCGCUGCCAGAUUUCGGACGUGUGCCUGGCCCAGUCUCCCUGUCAGAACGGCGGCACCUGCACCUACCACGGCGAGGGAAACUACACGUGCAGCUGCUCGCCGGCCUGGGUCGGUCGCGACUGCACCAGCCCGCAGUUCCCGUGCGCCGAGCAGCCGAACCCGUGCGGCGGCGACUGGCCGUGCCAGCGAGAUCCGGACUCAGCAGCCGGCCUCACCUGCUCCUGCCACACGCGGCCCGGCUACGUGGCUAAGUCAGACAAGGAGCCGCAGUGCGUCGUCAGCGACGUGUGCCAGGCCACGUCGCCCUGCAAGAACG
Molecule: long non-coding RNA, 321 nt
Organism: Pollicipes pollicipes
Lineage: Eukaryota; Metazoa; Arthropoda; Thecostraca; Pollicipedomorpha; Pollicipedidae
Exons: 3
Source: RefSeq, a predicted model, not a curated record